UCCGAGUUGACCCCGGCAGUCUCCUGCGAGUCCCCGCCAUUACGCGCUGGCAACACAGGACAAGGGUUGCGCUCGUUGCGGGACUUAACCCAACAUCUCACGACACGAGCUGACGACAGCCAUGCAGCACCUGUGUCGGCUCCUCUUGCGAGGUCGGUCCCCUUUCGGUUCCCUACCACCGACAUGUCAAACCCAGGUAAGGUUUUUCGCGUUGCGUCGAAUUGAACCACAUGCUCCACCGCUUGUGCGGGUCCCCGUCAAUUCCUUUGAGUUUUAACCUUGCGGCCGUACUCCCCAGGCGGGGUGCUUAAUGCGUUAGCUACGGCGCUGCAGGAGUAAUACCCACAACACCUAGCACCCAUCGUUUACGGCUAGGACUAC
Molecule: unclassified non-coding RNA, 381 nt
Filed under: uncultured bacterium
Lineage: Bacteria
Description: contains 16S-23S intergenic spacer region
Source: RNAcentral